RNAcentral lists this ribosomal RNA (352 nucleotides) under Hyperolius pusillus (water lily reed frog). RNAcentral's name for it is "partial 12S ribosomal RNA". It matches the Rfam family "Bacterial small subunit ribosomal RNA", at positions 866 to 1403 of the family's 1533-position model. Lineage: Eukaryota; Metazoa; Chordata; Amphibia; Anura; Hyperoliidae. The record is from RNAcentral.
AAAACGCCAGAGAACUACAAGCGCAAGCUUAAAACUCAAAGGACUUGACGGUGCCCCAUCUGCCUAGAGGAGCCUGUUCUAUAAUUGAUAAUCCCCGAUCUACCUCACCCUUUUUAGCUAAUCAGCUUGUAUACUUCCGUCGAUAAGCCUAUCAUAUGAAUGCUCAAUAGGCUAAAUAAUCAAAACGUCAGGUCAAAGUGCAGCCAAUAAAAAGGGAAGAAAUGGGCUACAAUUUUUAAUUUAAAAUACAUGAAGCUCCUAAAAAGCUAUGAAGGUGGAUUUAGAAGUAAAGUGAAAGUAGAGUGUUUACUUUAAUUAUGCUCUGGGACGCGUACACACCGCCCGUCACCCU